GUUUUAAUAGUUUAUUUUUAAAAUAUUGAUUUUGUAAAUCAAAGAAAAAUAUUUUUAUUUUUAAAACU
RNAcentral lists this transfer RNA (68 nucleotides) under Cladiucha punctata. RNAcentral describes it as "tRNA-Thr". RNAcentral also lists the same sequence under 2 other names. Lineage: Eukaryota; Metazoa; Arthropoda; Insecta; Hymenoptera; Tenthredinidae. The record is from RNAcentral.